UACGGCGGGUGCAAGCGUUAUCCGGAAUUAUUGGGCGUAAAGAGCUCGUAGGCGGUUUGCCGCGUCUGCCGUGAAAGUCCGGGGCUCAACCCCGGAUCUGCGGUGGGUACGGGCAGACUUGAGUGCAGAAGGGGAGACUGGAAUUCCUGGUGUAGCGGUGAAAUGCGCAGAUAUCAGGAGGAACACCGAUGGCGAAGGCAGGUCUCUGGGCUGUAACUGACGCUGAGGAGCGAAAGCAUGGGGAGCGAACAGG
Molecule: unclassified non-coding RNA, 253 nt
Filed under: uncultured Micrococcaceae bacterium
Lineage: Bacteria; Bacillati; Actinomycetota; Actinomycetes; Micrococcales; Micrococcaceae
Description: contains 16S-23S intergenic spacer region
Rfam family: Bacterial small subunit ribosomal RNA
Source: RNAcentral